Molecule: non-coding RNA, 186 nt
Filed under: Woeseiaceae bacterium
Lineage: Bacteria; Pseudomonadati; Pseudomonadota; Gammaproteobacteria; Woeseiales; Woeseiaceae
Description: 6S RNA
Rfam family: 6S / SsrS RNA
About the family: E. coli 6S RNA was the first non coding RNA to be sequenced, but its function was unknown until recently.
Source: RNAcentral
CGCCUCCUGCAGUGUUCGAUACCGAUCUGGUUACCUUUCGACCCUAAAUUAUUACCUCGGGGUCGUGCACUGUCGGCAGCAUUUGAGCAGGACCGUGUACGCGGAAAGCCUGUUGCUGCCACGGCUGACCCCACCUGUUGCUCCGGUUCGAGAGCGACGGUCUGUAACGGCACAGGCGGGAGGCGC